Molecule: ribosomal RNA, 431 nt
Filed under: uncultured bacterium
Lineage: Bacteria
Description: bacterial SSU rRNA
Rfam family: Bacterial small subunit ribosomal RNA
Source: RNAcentral
GGGCCCGCACAAGCGGUGGAGUAUGUGGUUUAAUUCGAUGCAACGCGAAGAACCUUACCAGGGUUUGACAUCCUGCGAAUUUCUGGGAAACCGGAAAGUGCCUUCGGGAGCGCAGUGACAGGUGGUGCAUGGCUGUCGUCAGCUCGUGUCGUGAGAUGUUGGGUUAAGUCCCGCAACGAGCGCAACCCACGUCUUUAGUUGCCAGCAUUUAGUUGGGCACUCUAGAGAGACCGCCGGUGAUAAACCGGAGGAAGGUGUGGAUGACGUCAAGUCAUCAUGCCCCUUACAUCCUGGGCUACACACGUACUACAAUGCUACGGACAAAGAGCAGCAAGUUCGCGAGGACAAGCAAAUCUCAUAAACCGUGGCUCAGUUCAGAUCGUAGGCUGCAACUCGCCUACGUGAAGGAGGAAUCGCUAGUAAUCGCAGGU